This 59-nucleotide ribosomal RNA is filed under the name uncultured Vexilliferidae. Its description in RNAcentral is "partial Bacterial small subunit ribosomal RNA". The record is from RNAcentral. Lineage: Eukaryota; Discosea; Flabellinia; Dactylopodida; Vexilliferidae.
AUGAAGAGUUUGAUCCUGGCUCAGGAUGAACGCUAGCGGCAGGCCUAACACAUGCAAGU